GAUGAACGCUGGCGGCGUGCUUAACACAUGCAAGUCGAACGGAAGGGCUCCUGCUUGCAGGGGUACUCGAGUGGCGAACGGGUGAGUAACACGUGGGUGAUCUGCCCUGCACUUCGGGAUAAGCCUGGGAAACUGGGUCUAAUACCGGAUAGGACGAUGGUUUGGAUGCCAUUGUGGAAAGUUUUUCGGUGUGGGAUGAGCUCGCGGCCUAUCAGCUUGUUGGUGGGGUAAUGGCCUACCAAGGCGUCGACGGGUAGCCGGCCUGAGAGGGUGUACGGCCACAUUGGGACUGAGAUACGGCCCAGACUCCUACGGGAUGCAGCAGUGGGGAAUAUUGCACAAUGGGCGCAAGCCUGAUGCAGCGACGCCGCGUGGGGGAUGACGGCCUUCGGGUUGUAAACUCCUUUCGCUAGGGACGAAGCGCAAGUGACGGUACCUGGAGAAGAAGCACCGGCUAACUACGUG
This 465-nucleotide ribosomal RNA is filed under the name uncultured bacterium. RNAcentral's name for it is "partial 16S ribosomal RNA". It matches the Rfam family "Bacterial small subunit ribosomal RNA", at positions 28 to 507 of the family's 1533-position model. The record is from RNAcentral.